RNA transcript from Myiozetetes cayanensis, 1622 nucleotides. It is a transcript of the gene named NIMA related kinase 2, with no coding region annotated. Lineage: Eukaryota; Metazoa; Chordata; Aves; Passeriformes; Tyrannidae. The record is from RefSeq and is a predicted model, not a curated record. The transcript has 8 exons.
UCCGCGCCCGCCAUGCCCGGCCGACCCGACGACUACGAGGUGCUGCUCACCAUCGGCGCCGGCUCCUACGGGAAGUGCCGCAAGGUGCGCCGCAAGGCCGACGGCAAGAUCUUGGUAUGGAAGGAACUGGACUAUGGCUCGAUGACGGAGUCGGAGAAGCAGAUGCUCGUUUCGGAGGUGAACCUGCUGAGGGAGCUGCGGCACCCGAACAUCGUCCGGUACUACGACCGGAUCAUCGACAGGAGCAGCACCACCCUGUACAUCGUGAUGGAGUACUGCGAUGGGGGAGACCUGGCGACCUUGAUUGCCAAAUGCUCAAAAGAUAGGCAUUUCUUGGAAGAAAGCUUUAUUCUCCGAGUAUUGACUCAGUUAACAUUGGCCUUGAAGGAGUGUCACAGACGGAGUGAUGGUGCAGUCACUGUGCAUCGUGACUUAAAACCAGCAAAUGUGUUUCUGGAUGGCAAACAGAAUGUGAAACUUGGAGAUUUUGGACUGGCUAGAAUAUUGCAUCACGAUACCAGCUUUGCCAAAACAUUUGUUGGAACUCCAUAUUAUAUGUCUCCAGUAAGACCUCCCUUCUAUGCCUUAUCUUCCCUUUUUUGCCCCUCCAAGGAACAAAUGAACCACAUGUCAUACAAUGAAAAAUCUGACAUUUGGUCUCUAGGAUGUCUUCUGUAUGAACUAUGUGCUCUCUCGCCUCCGUUUACAGCUUACAACCAAAAAGAACUGGCAGAAAAGAUAAGGGAAGGGAAGUUCAGAAGAAUACCAUAUCGUUACUCAGAGGAGUUGAACGAACUUCUCAAGCAGAUGCUGAAUGUAAAGGAUUAUUGCCGACCUUCUGUUGAAGAUAUUCUGCAGCACCCCUUGAUAGCAGACCUGGUGACAGAAGAACAAAAGCAGAAUUCUGACAGAAGAUGUUGGAGAUCGUGGGAGCCAGAAAGGCUGCAGUACUCAGAUGCUGCAGUGAAUGAGCUGAAACGGAAGGAACAGCAACUACAGGAGCGAGAACAAGCCAUUAAGGAGAGAGAGCAACGUUUGGAGCAGAGAGAACGGGAGCUCUGUGUGCGAGAGAGACUGGCAGAAGACAAACUUGCUAGGUAUCCUACUAACCUAUAAUUGUCUGUGUUAGAAAAUCUACAGUCUGACAACAAAAAGCUUAAAUUUCUCUUUCCCAAACAGAGCUGAAAGCCUUAUGAGGAGCUACAAUCUCCACAAGCAGCAGCGAGCGGUAACUUACGCAGAUGGUCCAGAUAACCCACUCCUGCUUCCCUUUUCUACAACCAAGAAGAAUGUACCCUUUGAAGGAAGUGAAGAGAAAGCGGUGUCUCCUAAUAAUAUGGAAAACUAUCUCUUUUCUAAAGGAAAAAGCUCUGAUCUCAAAAAACGGCUAUAUGCUGCAAAUCUACGAGCUCAAGCACUAUCUGAACUGGAAAAAAACUACCAACUAAAGAGCAGACAAAUCUUGGGCAUGCGUUGAAACUGUAAAAGAUGUGUUUACCUUUUAAAAGAUAAUUAAAUCUAUAGGAAGAUCCUUGUGCCUCCCUCUUUUAAGCUAGAACCUACUGAAAAAUGAUUUUAACAGUUUUUGUACAAACUCUUAGUUUGUGACAGGUAGUUUAUGA